RNAcentral lists this ribosomal RNA (403 nucleotides) under Bacteroidota bacterium. RNAcentral's name for it is "Bacteroidetes bacterium partial 16S ribosomal RNA". It matches the Rfam family "Bacterial small subunit ribosomal RNA", at positions 355 to 776 of the family's 1533-position model. Lineage: Bacteria; Pseudomonadati; Bacteroidota. The record is from RNAcentral.
UGGGGAAUUUUGCACAAUGGGGGAAACCCUGAUGCAGCGACGCCGCGUGAUUUAGAAGGCCUUCGGGUUGUAAAAAUCUUUUUUAUGGGAUGAAAAUGACAGUACCAUAAGAAUAAGGUCCGGCUAAAUACGUGCCAGCAGCCGCGGUAAUACGUAGGUGGCAAGCGUUGUCCGGAUUUAUUGGGCGUAAAGCGAGCGCAGGCGGUCAAUUAAGUCUGAUGUGAAAGCCCCCGGCUCAACCGGGGAGGGUCAUUGGAAACUGGUUGACUUGAGUGCAGAAGAGGAGAGUGGAAUUCCAUGUGUAGCGGUGAAAUGCGUAGAUAUAUGGAGGAACACCAGUGGCGAAGGCGACUCUCUGGUCUGUAACUGACGCUGAGGCUCGAAAGCGUGGGUAGCAAACAGG